This 331-nucleotide ribosomal RNA is filed under the name uncultured fungus. RNAcentral's name for it is "eukaryotic LSU rRNA". Lineage: Eukaryota; Fungi. The record is from RNAcentral.
AACGCACAUUGCACUCUCUGGUAUUCCGGAGAGUAUGCUUGUUUGAGUAUCAGUAAACACCUCAAGUCUCUUCUCUAGAGAAGAGAAUUGGACUUGAGCAAUCCCAACUCUUUGCAAAAAGAGGCGGGUUGCUUGAAAUGCAGGUGCAGCUGGACAUUCUUCUGAGCUAAAAGCAUAUUUAUUUAGUCCCGUCAAACGGAUUAUUACUUUUGCUCUAGCUAAUAUAAAGGUUGAAUGCGCUAUAUGCUGACUGAUGCAGGAUUACCAAGUUUUACUAGCUAAAACUUGUAAACUCGAUCUCAAAUCAAGUAAGACUACCCGCUGAACUUAA